CCCUGGCUCAGAACGAACGCUGGCGGCAGGCUUAACACAUGCAAGUCGAGCGCCCCGCAAGGGGAGCGGCAGACGGGUGAGUAACGCGUGGGAAUCUACCGAGCCCUACGGAAUAGCUCCGGGAAACUGGAAUUAAUACCGUAUACGCCCUUCGGGGGAAAGAUUUAUCGGGGUUUGAUGAGCCCGCGUUGGAUUAGCUAGUUGGUGGGGUAAAGGCCUACCAAGGCGACGAUCCAUAGCUGGUCUGAGAGGAUGAUCAGCCACAUUGGGACUGAGACACGGCCCAAACUCCUACGGGAGGCAGCAGUGGGGAAUAUUGGACAAUGGGCGCAAGCCUGAUCCAGCCAUGCCGCGUGAGUGAUGAAGGCCCUAGGGUUGUAAAGCUCUUUCACCGGUGAAGAUAAUGACGGUAACCGGAGAAGAAGCCCCGGCUAACU
RNAcentral lists this ribosomal RNA (437 nucleotides) under Rhizobium sp. CL4.17. RNAcentral describes it as "bacterial SSU rRNA". It matches the Rfam family "Bacterial small subunit ribosomal RNA", at positions 17 to 502 of the family's 1533-position model. The record is from RNAcentral. Lineage: Bacteria; Pseudomonadati; Pseudomonadota; Alphaproteobacteria; Hyphomicrobiales; Rhizobiaceae.